GUGCUUAUUUCAGCACACAUACUAAAAUUGGAGUGGUGCUGGGAAGGUUUGCAUGGUCCCUGUGUAGGAUGACAUUCACAUUCGUGAAGCAUUUGAUAUUUAA
Canis lupus familiaris (dog) is the source of this 103-nucleotide non-coding RNA. Lineage: Eukaryota; Metazoa; Chordata; Mammalia; Carnivora; Canidae. The record is from Rfam.